Molecule: non-coding RNA, 268 nt
Organism: Candidatus Brocadia fulgida
Lineage: Bacteria; Pseudomonadati; Planctomycetota; Candidatus Brocadiia; Candidatus Brocadiales; Candidatus Brocadiaceae
Rfam family: Bacterial large signal recognition particle RNA
About the family: The signal recognition particle (SRP) is a universally conserved ribonucleoprotein involved in the co-translational targeting of proteins to membranes. Archaeal SRP consists of a 7S RNA and homologues of the eukaryotic SRP19 and SRP54 proteins.
Source: Rfam
CCGUGCUAGAUGGGGAGCUAGCGGUUCCUUGUAACCUGCAACCCGCUAUAGCAGGAUCAAUCGCUUUUUCGAGGACCCACAGAUCAUGAGCCUUGCCGAUGUAAGGGGUGAUGAAGGCCGGACCUCAUGCAAUAAGAGAUUGUGCGAACCUGGUCAGGUGCGGAAGCAAGCAGCCAUAAGCAUAUAUCCUUAUGUGCCGUGAGUCAGUCUGGUCUGAGCCUACUGCAUAGGCAAACCCAUGGGAAUGGGAACGAAAAAAAGUGCACGG